This 256-nucleotide ribosomal RNA is filed under the name uncultured Lactobacillus sp. RNAcentral describes it as "partial 16S ribosomal RNA". It matches the Rfam family "Bacterial small subunit ribosomal RNA", at positions 107 to 354 of the family's 1533-position model. The record is from RNAcentral. Lineage: Bacteria; Bacillati; Bacillota; Bacilli; Lactobacillales; Lactobacillaceae.
UGAGUAACGCGUGGGUAACCUGCCCUUAAGUCUGGGAUACCAUUUGGAAACAGAUGCUAAUACCGGAUAAAAGCUACUUUCGCAUGAAAGAAGUUUAAAAGGCGGCGUAAGCUGCCGCUAAAGGAUGGACCUGCGAUGCAUUAGCUAGUUGGUAAGGUAACGGCUUACCAAGGCGAUGAUGCAUAGCCGAGUUGAGAGACUGAUCGGCCACAUUGGGACUGAGACACGGCCCAAACUCCUACGGGAGGCAGCAGAA